Molecule: transfer RNA, 57 nt
Filed under: Marmota marmota marmota (Alpine marmot)
Lineage: Eukaryota; Metazoa; Chordata; Mammalia; Rodentia; Sciuridae
Also listed under: 2 other names
Rfam family: tRNA
About the family: Transfer RNA (tRNA) molecules are approximately 80 nucleotides in length. Their secondary structure includes four short double-helical elements and three loops (D, anti-codon, and T loops). Further hydrogen bonds mediate the characteristic L-shaped molecular structure. tRNAs have two regions of fundamental functional importance: the anti-codon, which is responsible for specific mRNA codon recognition, and the 3' end, to which the tRNAs corresponding amino acid is attached (by aminoacyl-tRNA synthetases). tRNAs cope with the degeneracy of the genetic code in two manners: having more than one tRNA (with a specific anti-codon) for a particular amino acid; and 'wobble' base-pairing, i.e. permitting non-standard base-pairing at the 3rd anti-codon position.
Source: Rfam by way of RNAcentral
UAGCUCAGUUGGUAGAGUGCUUGCUUUGCAUGCAUAAAGCCUGGGUUCAAUCCCCAG